AUUGAACGCUGGCGGCAGGCCUAACACAUGCAAGUCGAGCGGAUGAAGGGAGCUUGCUCCUGGAUUCAGCGGCGGACGGGUGAGUAAUGCCUAGGAAUCUGCCUGGUAGUGGGGGAUAACGUCCGGAAACGGGCGCUAAUACCGCAUACGUCCUGAGGGAGAAAGUGGGGGAUCUUCGGACCUCACGCUAUCAGAUGAGCCUAGGUCGGAUUAGCUAGUUGGUGGGGUAAAGGCCUACCAAGGCGACGAUCCGUAACUGAUCUGAGAGGAUGAUCAGUCACACUGGAACUGAGACACGGUCCAGACUCCUACGGGAGGCAGCAGUGGAGAAUAUUGGACAAUGGGCGAAAGCCUGAUCCAGCCAUGCCGCGUGUGUGAAGAAGGUCUUCGGAUUGUAAAGCACUUUAAGUUGGGAGGAAGGGCAGUAAGUUAAUACCUUGCUGUUUUGACGUUACCAACAGAAUAAGCACCGGCUAACUUCGUG
RNAcentral lists this ribosomal RNA (484 nucleotides) under uncultured bacterium. RNAcentral's name for it is "partial 16S ribosomal RNA". It matches the Rfam family "Bacterial small subunit ribosomal RNA", at positions 30 to 507 of the family's 1533-position model. The record is from RNAcentral.